GAUGAACGCUGGCGGCGUGCCUAAUACAUGCCAGUCGAGCGAACGGACGAGAAGCUUGCUUCUCUGAUGUUAGCGGCGGACGGGUGAGUAACACGUGGAUAACCUACCUAUAAGACUGGGAUAACUUCGGGAAACCGGAGCUAAUACCGGAUAAUAUUUUGAACCGCAUGGUUCAAAAGUGAAAGACGGUCUUGCUGUCACUUAUAGAUGGAUCCGCGCUGCAUUAGCUAGUUGGUAAGGUAACGGCUUACCAAGGCAACGAUGCAUAGCCGACCUGAGAGGAUGAUCGGCCACACUGGAACUGAGACACGGUCCAGACUCCUACGGGAGGCAGCAGUAGGGAAUCUUCCGCAAUGGGCGAAAGCCUGAUGGAGCAACGCCGCGUGAGUGAUGAAGGUCUUCGGAUCGUAAAACUCUGUUAUUAGGGAAGAACAUAUGUGUAAGUAACUGUGCACAUCUUGACGGUACCUAAUCAGAAAGCCACGGCUAACUACGUG
Molecule: ribosomal RNA, 497 nt
Filed under: uncultured bacterium
Lineage: Bacteria
Description: partial 16S ribosomal RNA
Rfam family: Bacterial small subunit ribosomal RNA
Source: RNAcentral